ACACCAGAGCGUGUGCGAAAUAACUGAUUUCUUAAAAAGUUGCUUUGAUUCAGUUGGUUCCCAUGAGCAUUAGUAAGUUGCCCUUUAUAAAAUAAGGAUCACAUCUUGUUUUACAACAGAGUUUGCUUACAAAUGUCUAUUGGAUUCUUUCCAAGUCUCUUAAUUUACAAAUAACCAGGAUAAUGAUUCCCCCCACUCUGUCCCACCUUUUUUACAGAGAUACAAAGCAGAAGUUGGUUUUCUCAUAUGCGGAUGAAAGCAUGAAAUAUAAAGUAAUAAGUUUACAUAGUGUUACUGUCGCAAUGCUUUGGUUAAAUGUUGAUAUAAAGCAAGUUUUAGGAAUUCUUUUAAAUGAUGAAGUAAUGGUGGUGGAAAGAAAUUAGUAACAGAAAGAGUGAAAAUCUUUUCAUUAGCUGUAGGUGGUGCUACUGGCUUUUAUUUGCUGGCUUGAUUAUUCUGUUUCCCACAAAAACCAUGGCAUUAGUAAAACAGUAAGUAUGUGUUAGGUGGUAGAGGCUUUGGAGGUCAGUUUACCUUAAAUUGAAAGAUUUUAGAUAGCUGUUUCUUCCUACCUUUGCUUGUUAUUUGUAAAUGCUAAAUGGUCAGCAUAAAACUAGAUGGGAGAAGAAAUGUUUAGAGUAUAAUAAAUAUGUCUCAGACUGAGUUACUGCCUGGCUUAUCAGGAAAGAAAGCACUACAAUCUCUUCAGGAAUUACAGAUAAUGCGCAUAUUUAUAUUUUACAUGUAAUCACCAUACUCCAUUUU
RNAcentral lists this long non-coding RNA (765 nucleotides) under Bos taurus (domestic cattle). Its description in RNAcentral is "long non-coding RNA NONBTAT022536". The record is from RNAcentral. Lineage: Eukaryota; Metazoa; Chordata; Mammalia; Artiodactyla; Bovidae.